This 393-nucleotide ribosomal RNA is filed under the name uncultured bacterium. Its description in RNAcentral is "partial 16S ribosomal RNA". It matches the Rfam family "Bacterial small subunit ribosomal RNA", at positions 523 to 918 of the family's 1533-position model. The record is from RNAcentral.
AUACGGAGGAUGCGCGCGUUAUCCGGAUUUAUUGGGUUUAAAGGGAGCGUAGGUGGGAUAUUAAGUCAGCUGUGAAAGUUUGGGGCUCAACCUUAAAAUUGCAGUUGAUACUGGUUUCCUUGAGUACAGUAGAGGCAGGAGGAAUUCGUGGUGUAGCGGUGAAAUGCUUAGAGAUCACGAAGAACUCCGAUUGCGAAGGCAGCCUGCUGGACUGUAACUGACGCUGAUGCUCGAAAGUGUGGGUAUCAAACAGGAUUAGAUACCCUGGUAGUCCACACAGUAAACGAUGAAUACUCGCUGUUUGCGAUAUACAGUAAGCGGCCAAGCGAAAGCGUUAAGUAUUCCACCUGGGGAGUACGCCGGCAACGGUGAAACUCAAAGGAAUUGGCGGGG